Molecule: ribosomal RNA, 795 nt
Filed under: Steinernema sp. PB63.3TH
Lineage: Eukaryota; Metazoa; Nematoda; Chromadorea; Rhabditida; Steinernematidae
Description: partial 28S ribosomal RNA
Rfam family: Eukaryotic large subunit ribosomal RNA
Source: RNAcentral
AGUUGACAUGGUAUUGUGACGUAUAGAGGUGAUCAUGUGCAGUUUGUUGACUUUACGAAUUUCCUUUGACUAGGAAUCCAUAGCUGGUGCGAGACCCGUACGUAUCGUCGACUUGUUGUACGCGUUUACUUCUUGGAGUCGGGUUGUUUGAGAUCGCAGCCCUAAGUAGGUGGUAUACUUCAUCUAAAGCUAAAUACGACUACGAAUCCGAUAGCAAACAAGUACCGUGAGGGAAAGUUGCAAAGUACUUUGAAGAGAGAGUUCAAGAGGACGUGAAACCGAUAGGAUGGAAGCAGAUGAAGUUGACGAACGAGUGUUGUAUUCAGAGCUGCAUCUUGUGUGCGGCUUGUUCUUGCAACCGAGUGGGCCGGCGGCUCUGGUUAAUGCACUGUGCCAAUCGUUGAUGGUGACCCUGCGGAGGGAUAAUCGGUCGGCGUGCGGUGCGUGGUAUAGCUAGGGUUUUGUCCCCGGUCUUGAACUCCGCCCCUUCUCAGACCCCUCUUGAAACAGAGACCAGGGAGUGUAGCUUUCACGCGACUCUUAGAGUGUGAAAAAUUUUUGGGGCACAACAAAUGUGAGUGCCUUUUGCUCUGCUGAUUUGGGAUGUUUUCUCUCGUGUGCACCGCCUGAGCCAGGGGUUUUCUCGCUCUCUCGUGCGGUGCUGUGAAUAUAGAGCAUACACUGCGCCACCCAAGAGAUUGUGCUCUGUGUGAGAGCGAGAAGACGCGAGAAAACUCUCUGGGUAAACUCAGACGCUGCUCAGACGUAAAAUCUAUUGUGAGACGGGGUAGGGGG